RNAcentral lists this ribosomal RNA (435 nucleotides) under uncultured bacterium. Its description in RNAcentral is "bacterial SSU rRNA". It matches the Rfam family "Bacterial small subunit ribosomal RNA", at positions 29 to 507 of the family's 1533-position model. The record is from RNAcentral.
AACGAACGCUGGCGGCAGGCCUAACACAUGCAAGUCGAGCGAGGUAGCAAUACCUAGCGGCGGACGGGUGAGUAACGCGUGGGAACGUACCCUUUGCUACGGAAUAGCCUCGGGAAACUGGGAGUAAUACCGUAUGUGCCCCUUCGGGGGAAAGAUUUAUCGGCAAAGGAUCGGCCCGCGUCGGAUUAGGUAGUUGGUGGGGUAAUGGCCUACCAAGCCUACGAUCCAUAGCUGGUUUGAGAGGAUGAUCAGCCACACUGGGACUGAGACACGGCCCAGACUCCUACGGGAGGCAGCAGUGGGGGAAUCUUAGACAAUGGGCGCAAGCCUGAUCUAGCCAUGCCGCGUGAGUGACGAAGGCCUUAGGGUUGUAAAGCUCUUUCAGCUGGGAAGAUAAUGACGGUACCAGCAGAAGAAGCCCCGGCUAACUCCGUG